UUUUAUUUUUCUCAUAGACUUAAACAUCCCCAUUUCUUUCACUUGAUGCUCACAUAGCAUAUAGCCCAGUCUUUUUGUAAUCUUUCUAUUUAAAAUCAUAAAACCAGAGAUGGAAUGGACCAGGGAGGUCAUGUAGUUGUGGACAAUCAAUGAAGGCUCAGGCAGCUUAUGUGUACUUGCCCAAGGUCAAAUGAGAAUUGAAUAUGAAUAUUCAAGAUAUGAAUUAGGAUAUGAACUCAGGUCUUCUGAGCCAAAUUCUCCCUCUUUCCACUGUCUCAUUCUGCCUUUUUUACAACAUCAUUCCUAAAGUCCGUGGCCUGUUCCCCAGCAAUGGUUGGCUCAGGCACAGGGUAACUCUCUUGCUCUGGCCACCAGAUUUCUGUGGAUGCAGCCAGAGCCCAAAUCAUCGAUUUUUGCUUUUGAAUCAUUCAUGUGGAGGGCAGCCUGGCCUAGUGAUCUUUUCCUUCCUGAGGUUGAGCAGUGGCUACUUUUCUCUCCUCUGGCCUUUCUUCCCACUCCAGGCCAAAUCUGGACAGCUCUUCUGGGAAGAUCUCAAGCCAGGGAUUCUCUGAGUUGUGGUGGGCUAGUGUGUCAGAAUUCUCCCUAAUUCAGGGUCAGGAUCAUAGGCCUGGGAGCUUAGAGAGAUCUUAGAAAUCAACCGUGCAACCCCUUUAUUUUAUAGGGCAGGGGUGGAACUUGAGCUCAUGUUUUUCGACUUGGAAUUUGGUGCUCUUGCUUUUGGUCCCCUAUUUGAAUUGUUACACUCACUGCUUCUUCUUUUUGCAGAAUUUAACUCCACACUUCUCUGAUGCUCCCAAGAUGCCACACGAACAAGACUUCACUGAAAACAGACCUGCAAAGGGAUUGCAGUCAGCAGUACAAAUCUGAAGGCCAUGGCUCAGUUAAUGUAUUGCAAAAAUGGACUUGCUGGGAGUCAAGAGGUCUGUGUUCAAAUUCUCCCUCAGCUUCUUCACUUGAAAUGUGUCUUUGGGUCAGAGUGGAUUAAUGGAAAGAGCCUUGGGCUUGGAAUCUGAAGACCUUAUUUGGAAUUUUGGCUCUGCUGCUUCCUUCCAGGGAGAUUUGGAAUCCAAUGGAGAAAUUUUUGGUGGUCUGUGCAGUUGAAGGGAAGCACUGGAGAAAUCUUUGUCCAUGUUUCCAUUUGGAAUGUUCUGUGAGUCUUCAGGACUCUACUGGAGAAAUGUAUAUACAUUGAAGAAAACCAUUAGCAGAAUUUUCAUCUAGAACACAAACAGCUGUUUUUCACAUGAAGGGGUUUUGAUCUAGGAUAAGUAAAAACCCGCCCAUUGGCUUACAUAAAAAAGCAAGUUUGUCCCUACUUUGAAGCAGUAGAAAAGAAACUCUCUUCUUGAAGGUGUUCUCAUUCUUAAAGAUUCACCCUUGCACCUACUGAAGAAUGCACAAAGGGAAGAAAAUGCCUCUUCUCCCUCUCUCCUCUCUAUUCCCCUCCAGUCAACAGUGAGAUAUUGUGGCAGAAAUAUGUGACUAUAGGAGAUAUGUGCUUGCAUAUGAUCUGAGAGGGAAAUUCAAGAUCAUAGACCUUGACCUCUAACCUUCUGUGAAGAGAGUCAAGGGGAAGAAAGAUAGAGGAGGAAGAGAAAGAGAAGAAAGAGGAGGAGGAAGAGGUGGAGGAGAAAAAGAAGGAGGAGAAGGAGGAGGAGAGAAGGAGGAGGAAGAGGAAAAGAGAAGGAAGAGAGGAGGAGAAGAAGGAGGACAGGAGGAAGAGGAGGAGGAGAAAUAGAAGGAGGAUUAUCCUGGAUGGAGACUAGAGCUGGAUCCUUUCAUUUGGGAGAUAGCAGCCUUCAGAGCUGAGAAUCUGAAGCUUCCCACUCUGGAGUCUUCCCAUUGGUCCUAAGGUAAGAGUUCUAAUUCUUUCUGAAAGAGCCUGGUAAUUCCCUAGCCAAGGAUUUCUGCUAAGGACAGAGAAAACUGGGAAGAUUUAUAUAAACUGAUAUAGAGUAACAUGA
Long non-coding RNA from Sarcophilus harrisii (Tasmanian devil), 1985 nucleotides. RefSeq lists it as uncharacterized. The transcript has 5 exons. NCBI's taxonomy places the organism in Eukaryota, Metazoa, Chordata, Mammalia, Dasyuromorphia, Dasyuridae. The record is from RefSeq and is a predicted model, not a curated record.